GGGAGCAUGGCCGAGCAGUCCAAGGCGUUGGAUUUAGGCUCCAGUCUCUUCAGGGGCGAGGGUUCAAAUCCCUCUGCUGCCA
Molecule: non-coding RNA, 82 nt
Organism: Gymnothorax javanicus (giant moray)
Lineage: Eukaryota; Metazoa; Chordata; Actinopteri; Anguilliformes; Muraenidae
Source: the annotation of a GenBank genome assembly